CCUACGGGAGGCAGCAGUGGGGAAUAUUGGGCAAUGGGCGCAAGCCUGACCCAGCAACGCCGCGUGAAGGAAGAAGGCUUUCGGGGUGUAAACUUCUUUUAAGAGGGAAGAGCAGAAGACGGUACCUCUCUAAUAAGCCACGGCUAACUACGUGCCAGCAGCCGCGGUAAUACGUGGGUGGCAAGAGUUGUCCGGAUUUAUUGGGUGUAACGGGCGUGUAGCCGGGCUGACAAGUCAGUUGUGAAAUUCCGGGGCUCAACCCCGGACUUGCAUUUGAAACUGUUGGCCUUGAGUAUAGGAGAGGCAGGCGGAAUUCGUGGUGUAGCGGUGAAAUGCGUAGAUAUUAGGAGGAACACCAGUGGCGAAGGCAGCCUGCUAGACGACAACUGACGGUGAGGCGCGAAAGCGUGGGGAGCAAACAGGAUUAGAUACCCGAGUAGUC
Molecule: ribosomal RNA, 442 nt
Filed under: uncultured bacterium
Lineage: Bacteria
Description: partial 16S ribosomal RNA
Rfam family: Bacterial small subunit ribosomal RNA
Source: RNAcentral